RNAcentral lists this ribosomal RNA (758 nucleotides) under uncultured Cytophaga sp. RNAcentral describes it as "bacterial SSU rRNA". It matches the Rfam family "Bacterial small subunit ribosomal RNA", at positions 87 to 845 of the family's 1533-position model. The record is from RNAcentral. Lineage: Bacteria; Pseudomonadati; Bacteroidota; Cytophagia; Cytophagales; Cytophagaceae.
GGCUUCGACCGGCGUACGGGUGCGUAACGCGUAUACAAUCUGCCUUUCACAUAGGGAUAGCCCGAAGAAAUUUGGAUUAAUACCUAAUGGUAUAUAGGAGUGGCAUCACAUUUAUAUUAAAGCUGAGGCGGUGAAAGAUGAGUAUGCGUUCUAUUAGCUAGUUGGAGAGGUAACGGCUCCCCAAGGCGACGAUAGAUAGGGGUUCUGAGAGGGAUAUCCCCCACACUGGUACUGAGAUACGGACCAGACUCCUACGGGAGGCAGCAGUGAGGAAUAUUGGACAAUGGUCGGAAGACUGAUCCAGCCAUGCCGCGUGCAGGAAGACGGCCUUGUGGGUUGUAAACUGCUUUUGCAGGGGAAGAAUAAGGAGUACGUGUACUUUGAUGACGGUACUCUGCGAAUAAGCAUCGGCUAACUCCGUGCCAGCAGCCGCGGUAAUACGGAGGAUGCGAGCGUUAUCCGGAAUCAUUGGGUUUAAAGGGUCCGUAGGCGGGCUAAUAAGUCAGAGGUGAAAGCGCUCAGCUCAACUGAGCAACUGCCUUUGAAACUGUUAGUCUUGAAUGGUUGUGAAGUAGUUGGAAUGUGUAGUGUAGCGGUGAAAUGCUUAGAUAUUACACAGAACACCGAUAGCGAAGGCAUAUUACUAACAAUUAAUUGACGCUGAUGGACGAAAGCGUGGGGAGCGAACAGGAUUAGAUANCCUGGUAGUCCACGCUGUAAACGAUGGAUACUAGCUGUUUGGUUGUUAAGACUGAGUG